UGAGGAAUAUUGGUCAAUGGGGGCAACCCUGAACCAGCCAAGUCGCGUGAAGGAUGAAGGUCUUAUGGAUUGUAAACUUCUUUUAUACGGGAAUAAAGUGGGGGACGUGUCCCCUUUUGCAUGUACCGUAUGAAUAAGGAUCGGCUAACUCCGUGCCAGCAGCCGCGGUAAUACGGAGGAUCCGAGCGUUAUCCGGAUUUAUUGGGUUUAAAGGGUGCGCAGGCGGGAUGUUAAGUCGGCGGUGAAAUUUUGCAGCUCAACUGUAAAAGUGCCUUCGAUACUGGCCUCCUUGAGUGUGGAUGAAGUAGGCGGAAUUUGUGGUGUAGCGGUGAAAUGCUUAGAUAUCACGAGGAACUCCGAUUGCGCAGGCAGCUUACUAAACCACAACUGACGCUCAUGCACGAAGGCGUGGGGAUCAAACAGG
RNAcentral lists this ribosomal RNA (424 nucleotides) under uncultured bacterium. RNAcentral's name for it is "bacterial SSU rRNA". It matches the Rfam family "Bacterial small subunit ribosomal RNA", at positions 355 to 776 of the family's 1533-position model. The record is from RNAcentral.